Molecule: RNA transcript, 4318 nt
Organism: Cryptotermes secundus
Lineage: Eukaryota; Metazoa; Arthropoda; Insecta; Blattodea; Kalotermitidae
Gene: Efr
Gene name: UDP-xylose and UDP-N-acetylglucosamine transporter
Exons: 11
Source: RefSeq, a predicted model, not a curated record
CGGUACAGUACGUCUGUGGAGAAGAGGACGGUUAGUCCGAGUUAGUCGAUGUGUGGUCAAAUGUUUGCUAAGGUUAUGUUGGCCUGUUAUAAAAUGUGCUUAACAUUAUUCUCUUAAAGGAAAAAGCUGAAGUUCACAAUAUAAUAAUCAAAAUGAAAUCUGCAUUAGCAAUUGUCAUGGUGUUUGUAGGAUGUUGUAGCAAUGUGGUGUUCCUUGAAUUAUUAGUGAAGGAAGAUCCAUCAAGUGGCAAUAUAAUUACAUUUUCCCAGUUUUUUAUUAUAGCUCUUGAAGGUUUCAUCUUUACAGCUCACUUUGGUACCAAGAAGCCAAGGAUUGGAAUCAAAGAUUAUGCCAUCCUUGUUGCUAUGUUCUUCUGUGCUAAUGUGUGCAAUAAUUAUGCAUUCAAUUUCAACAUUCCCAUGCCCCUUCACAUGAUAUUUAGGGCUGGAUCUUUGAUUGCAAAUAUGAUUAUGGGUAUACUGAUCUUGAAGAAGAAAUAUACACUGUCAAAAUAUCUUUCAGUUUUCAUGAUUACACUUGGAAUUUCAAUUUGCACUAUUGUAUCAGGAAAAGAUGUUAAAGCGACCACGCCAUUGAACCAGGUUGUUCCUGAACAGUCUGAGAUGGAGGUACUCUUUUGGUGGACUGUAGGCAUUUUGCUUCUAACAGUUGCACUCUUUGUAUCGGCAAGAAUGGGUAUAUACCAAGAAGUAUUAUAUGGAAGAUAUGGGAAGCAUCCAAGAGAAUCAUUGUUUUAUACACAUUUGCUUCCUCUUCCUGGAUUCCUUAUUUUAUAUGACAACAUUUAUUCUCACAUCAUUUCAUUUGCUCAAAGUACACCUGUGAUUAUUCCUGUCAUUGGUGCACGCAUACCAAAGCUCUAUCUCUACCUUGCUGGGAAUGUUCUCACACAAUGUAUUUGUAUCAACUCAGUUUAUGUACUUACAACUGAGUGCACAUCUCUCACCGUUACAUUGGUCGUGACACUUCGGAAAUUUGUUAGUUUGCUUUUUUCUAUUGUGUAUUUUCAGAAUGAAUUCACCUUUGCACAUUGGCUUGGAACAUUCAUGGUGUUUUCUGGAACUCUGAUAUUUACAGAAGUAGUAGAUAAAUUUAAAGCUGCAGUAUCUGGACAAUUAGAGAAAAAAGUUGAAUAAUAUACUGUAUUUGUUGUGACUGUGAUUCAGAAGGAUCUUCUCAGAUUCAUUAAAACUGACAUUUUGAACUCAUUUGGAACAUCAUAUUAGAUGUCUGAAGCAGGCUUAAAAUGCUAUAAAACCAUAUGAAGAAAUGCGUCAUCUGAGUUCAAAAGCAUCAGUACAUUUGUGUUAGAUUCUCAACGAGAACGACUAGUACAAAUGAGGCUUUGGACCAUUACCCAUUCAUAAGGUGAGAAUCAGCUAUAAAGGUUUUUUUUUUUAUAAAUUGUCAAAACAAAGACUCACCAACUUCAGAAUUUUUCAUUUACAUUGACUGAUUUUUUCCUGGCUUAUUACUGUCUUAAUGACAACCCAACAGAUUGAUUUUCUUUAUGCAAUUUUCAGUUAUUUUGUUGUUCAUUGUUCUCCCAAGUCUUCAGGAUCAUGUUCUUGUUCCUAUGAAGGUCUUAUUUCCAACUGUAAACGUUGACAUACUAAUUUUUUACUGUAUAAUACCUUUGUUUCUCAAGUCCAAAUCUUCUUUUUUAUGCCCAGUGCUUAACUUAACUUCUUUCAGUUUGAACUUUUCAAACAGCUUUAUUAAUAAACAUACACUCUGCAUAUCAGUAUUCAAUUCAGAAAGUAGACUCAUGGAGAAAGAGUGAAGUGGUAUGACCACAGAUACAAGAGCAGGAAUGUGACUGGACUCUGUUUGGAAAAUCCAGAACUUUAAUUUUUUACAGAGAUUGCUGGAACUGUGGGUCACAAAGUGGGACCAUUGUUCCACAGUGAAGGUGAGAUUUACAUGCCUUGGAAAUUCCAGAUGGAUAACCCUGUUGCUACCACAUCAUUAACAUGUACAGGGUAAUGUAUGGAGACCAUUUUAUACCUUAAAAAUGCUGCCAGUCAUAUUAAGAUCUGCUUGUGUACACCUGAAACUGAAGCAGCAAACACUCAUAGCACAAUCAAUGUACCUAUUCUGCAAGAGACCCCUAUAAACUGAAUUAAAAUUGCAGGUAGUCUGCAUGAAUGUUUAUUUGCAGACACCCUGCUUUAAACUGCUGCAGUGCUGAACUCACAGUUCACAGUGGUUAGGACUUCCACUUCAUAUUCAGGAUGUUCUGAGUUCAACUCUUGGACUAGCAGCUGAUUAUCCUGACUGAGGUUUUCGAGUGUUUUCUUGGUUCUGGAGGUGAGUGGUGGAAUAAUAUCUUAAAAUUGCCCUCAACCAUUUUCUUCUUCAUCUUUUCUAAUUCAUUAGCUGUGAUCCUAUCAGUGGAUGGUAUUUAAUCUGGGCACUUGAAAUGGCAUCUUUAAAUGAACCAAGAAUCAGUUAUCCUCAGAAAUGAUGACGAUAUAUCCAAUCUAUGAAAAUUUGAAGUAUAAUUUGCAUGUUACUGUAUUCUGAAUUUAUUCCUUGCAAUCAUGUAACUUUACUGGUAGUGGCCUAGCAUUUGAAUACCAUUUCUCAACCCAUCAUGGGACACAACCAAUUUCAAAAGUACUGAAACAAAAGAAUACCACAAAUUAAUGCAGUAACAGGAAAAAUAUCUUCUAUGGUGUGGAUGAAUACUGAUACAUUCUUUGUAGAACAAAAGGGUAACCCCUCAGAAAACUGCUCAAGAGCUUGAAUAUAAGAAUUGCUGUUUUAAAUUUAUGUUGGAUGAUACAAAUAUCAUAUUUCAGGUUUGUAUCACACAUUUAAGCUGGAACAUGAAGAUAUAGGCCAUAAAGGCAGGUAUUUUCAUGCACUUCAAUUGUUUGCAUGAGAUACAAAUGAUUUGCACAUUGUAAUCCCAUUAAAGGACAUGUCAGGAAAGUUAAAUUCCUUUCUCUAACAUAAAGGUACUGGAUAAUAGCAAGAUUUGCAUUUUUCUGUGUGAAGUAAGGCACUGUGUAGCCAUAAUACUAUAUGAAAUGUUCUUACAGUAAAUGUGGGAAGUGGUUUCAUAACAGUGCUUUAAUGAAUAAUCAAUAAGAAAUACAAUUAAACUCUCAGGGGUUUCAGUUCCAUAUUUAGUUUUCUAAAUUCCUUAUUAAUCUUGAAUAUCUAAAAUCAACAUAUAAUACCAUCACAAUGAUAUAUGUUGAUUUUAUAUAAUAUUUUAUCAGGAAAAUGAACUAUAUUAAAAUUUGAAUGUCUAAUUUGGGCUAGACUUCUUUCAUAGGUGGUUGGUUAACAUAAUAAAGGUAAACUUAGUUCUGUGCUGGACACUGUCAUGAAAUAUGUAACAGUGCCAUACAUUCUAGACCUCAGCACUUGACUGAGUUAGAAGGUGUGUUUCCAGCUCUAUCUCCUCUACUGCCUUUGAAAGAGCAUGUUGGGUCCACGGAGUAAGAGUCUGUUUGUUAGUGGUGAUAAAAGAAAUUCCCUGCCCCCCUAGAAAGAAGUCAUUGAGUCCUUACCCAAUCUCUUAACUGAUUAAGCUGUCUUGGGUCAUUUCAUUAUAUAUUUACAGAUAAUAAAUCAGCAAUUCAUUUGUGUAAAUUAUUUGCCUAAAUGUGAAAGUGAGAAGUGGCUGGUGUUUGCAUUUUGUAACAUGUAACAAUCUGUGUCAUGAGUCUAGCCUCCCAUUACAGUUCACAGGCCCAUCAUGUUCUGAGUGAUUACACAUUGUUUACAGCUCUCUACAUUCAUAGCUGCCCUGUAGAAUUUUCAAAAGAGGAUACUAAAUAGUCAUGUCAGACCAUAUCUAGACUGCAGGAUGGAUUGUUGAGCUCCUGACAGUGGCCUGAAGUUGAUGUGACUUGUAGAUGUGAACAUUAUCAUACAAAAGAAUGGCACAGCAUUUUGUUUUCAAGACACUUGACAGAGCCUUCAUGGAAGCUGUACAGGAUUCACAAGUUGACUAUGAACUUAUGAGCAUGGACUCCUUUGAAAACAGAUAUUCAUGCAGUACCCAUAAUAUUACAUACCUGUAAACAUAACAUUUUCAUAACAUUCAGAAUCCUGUGUUUCCACUGCAUGCUGUAUGGUUUCUGGAAUCUAUCCAUGAGUUACCUGUUACCUGUUGAGCAUCUUUGAAGGAUGAGAAAGGUAGGCUGUACCUUAUACAGCCUUUCCUCCUAUGACAUACUCACCCUUACAUGGUCCAUUGUGUUUUACUUUAUUCAUUCUGGUCCGUCACACUAGUUGAAUAUUAUAGAAUGAUUUGACAACACAGUCCAGUGUGACUCAA